Molecule: ribosomal RNA, 247 nt
Filed under: uncultured Enterococcaceae bacterium
Lineage: Bacteria; Bacillati; Bacillota; Bacilli; Lactobacillales; Enterococcaceae
Description: partial 16S ribosomal RNA
Rfam family: Bacterial small subunit ribosomal RNA
Source: RNAcentral
CAUGCCGUAAACGAUGAGUGCUAGGUGUUGGAGGGUUUCCGCCCUUCAGUGCCGCAGCUAACGCAUUAAGCACUCCGCCUGGGGAGUACGACCGCAAGGUUGAAACUCAAAGGAAUUGACGGGGGCCCGCACAAGCGGUGGAGCAUGUGGUUUAAUUCGAAGCAACGCGAAGAACCUUACCAGGUCUUGACAUCCUUUGACCACUCUAGAGAUAGAGCUUUCCCUUCGGGGACAAAGUGACAGGUGG